Long non-coding RNA from Gossypium arboreum, 1384 nucleotides. RefSeq lists it as uncharacterized. The record is from RefSeq and is a predicted model, not a curated record. NCBI's taxonomy places the organism in Eukaryota, Viridiplantae, Streptophyta, Magnoliopsida, Malvales, Malvaceae. The transcript has 6 exons.
UUAAUAGAUAAAUGAUGAAAUAAAGAACCGAUUGUUUGUUUUAAGUUGUCAUUUAACCCUUUGCCUCCGGCAUCUUCCCUCAUGGCUUUGGAGAAAGAAGCUGCCAUUGCUGCUGCUCCCUCUGAUUCUCCUACCAUGUCAGCCCAGCCCUAUAUUUCUCCUUCUCCUUUUAUGCAUCAAUUUCUUCUUUUAGAAAAAAAGAAUUCUUUUUUUUUAAGAAUAAUUCUCGACAGUAAAUGUUCCUUCCCUUCACUUCGAUGUGAAUUAGCGGGAUCAUUCAUUCUCAUUUACCUUUUUAUUUUUUUCAAAUUUGACAAAAUCAUCAACAAGGCAAUACCAGCUACCGUGGUGUAUGAAGAUGAUAAGGUCUUAGCUUUUAGGGACAUAGCUCACCAGGCUCCUAUGCAUAUUUUAAUUAUUCCAAAAUCAAAGGAUGGCCUAACUGGUUUGUCUAUGGUACAACUUUUUUUGUCUUCGCUUCUAACUGAGCAGUAAAUAUUUAUGCCCUCUAUCAUAGAGGAAACUACAAUUAUGGCUGGGUAUUAAUUUGGAAAAAAAAGUAUGGAGUAUUGUUAAAAGAAUGCUGCUCAAGUUUUAUCAAUUUGAUUUGCCUUUUGCGUCUUGCUCACUCUUGAAGCUGUAUGAGGAAAAGAAAGAGAAGGAAAAUAGGAGUGAAAUUAAAUGGAAAUUGUAUCAAGAAAUUCUGGUGAAAUUAAAUAGAAGCUGGGUAUAAAUUUUGCUUCAUGCAUCUGUCUGUGUAUCAUGUCCGGGAGUAUGAUGUUCACAAGCUCAUGCACCUAGAGGAACCGAUUGAUAUUUUCCUUCACACUGAUUAUGGGAACUGGCAAAUACUUGUUCACUACAAAAAAAAUUUCAAAGAUGAGAUCCAGCAAGGAACUCUUGGAAGCAAGCCUGCUACUCGAAAAACUCAAACAAUCGUAUUGGUUUUCAGCUCACUUGCUGUGACGGCCCAAAUUUCAGUGAUAUCGGAACAGUGAUUUGAAAUCACUAAAUCUGACAUGUGAGCUUAGAUAUGAAUCAAGAAAACAAAUUGAACCGUGGAAAGGAGAAAAUUCAAGAAUAGUCCCUGAAUUUCUACAACUUUUGCAAAUUAACCCAGAUUGAACUAAAGUGAAGUUGGUAGAUCGGAUCAACACAACAAGGCACACUAUCCAGAUCAAUUCCGGUAGUUUUUGUUUUAUGUUUAAAGAUUUAUAUGGCAUGUAUAGAGUUUAAAUGGAUUGCAAUAAAGAUAUUAUAAACUAGUUAACAAUAUUUUGUACUAAAACAGUUUUUGGAUAGUAGCAGUAGUUUGACUUCGAAAAUUCACCAUAAAUUAUGAAAAUUUAAUUAGAGGUUGAAUAAAAUAUGAAAUUAAAGAUUA